UUACUCAGGCUUAGAGUAGACCCACUGAAAUCAGUGAGGCAUCAGAUGAUCUAACUCGAGUCCCAUUGAUUUCAAUGGGUCUACUCUAAAGCCUGGGUCCAA
Podarcis lilfordi (Lilford's wall lizard) is the source of this 102-nucleotide non-coding RNA. The record is from the annotation of a GenBank genome assembly. NCBI's taxonomy places the organism in Eukaryota, Metazoa, Chordata, Lepidosauria, Squamata, Lacertidae.